GCUCCUAUCGUCUAGUCUGGUCCAGGACACGGCCUUCUCAAGGCUGGAACUCGGGUUCGAAUCCCGAUGGGAGCACCG
RNAcentral lists this transfer RNA (78 nucleotides) under Candidatus Wolfebacteria bacterium RIFCSPLOWO2_01_FULL_38_11. RNAcentral's name for it is "tRNA-Glu". It matches the Rfam family "tRNA". Rfam says of the family: Transfer RNA (tRNA) molecules are approximately 80 nucleotides in length. Lineage: Bacteria; Candidatus Wolfeibacteriota. The record is from RNAcentral.